UACGAAGGGGGCUAGCGUUGUUCGGAAUUACUGGGCGUAAAGCGUAUGCAGGCGGAUCGAUAAGUCGGGGGUGAAAUCCUGAGGCUCAACCUCAGAACUGCCUUCGAUACUGUCGAUCUUGAGUCCGGGAGAGGUUAGUGGAACUGCGAGUGUAGAGGUGAAAUUCGUAGAUACUCGCAAGAACACCAGUGGCGAAGGCGGCUAACUGGCCCGGUACUGACGCUGAGAUACGAAAGCGUGGGGAGCAAACAGG
Molecule: ribosomal RNA, 253 nt
Filed under: uncultured bacterium
Lineage: Bacteria
Description: partial 16S ribosomal RNA
Rfam family: Bacterial small subunit ribosomal RNA
Source: RNAcentral